CUGUUCCUCAGUCUUCAGGUCCCUUUCUGUCUUUUGAGAGGUAACAGUUGGUAGUUUUGGCCAGAUAGAGAGGAGAGAUGAGAAGGAAAUGAUUCAUUGAUCUAUCCAGAUGUCUUCAGAACACAGUGUUGCUAAAGUUACAGGUUCAUCAGCUGGCUGAGCAUGAAGCGGGGAGAAAUCAACAAGUUCUCAAGACAGCUUCACACCCAUCAAGAGCCUUUGAAGUUUAACAACAAAGCCUGACUCUAAGGGCAGAAGUAUUGGGCCACAUGUUGAUGUGAUCAGAAAUAUUAGCCAAUUCAUUAAGUUCAGAAGCAGCAUGGCCAAAGUUCAUCCUUAAUCUCCAUCCCAUUUCCUGGUAUCCUGCCAGAAGAGAUCCUGACUCCAGCAGCCCAUCAGUUACCAAAGGUAAAGACAACACCAGGGUUUAUGCUGGAGAAUGCAGUAUUUUAUUUUCAGGGGGAUUAGGAGCUACAGAUAUUUUGUGUCUGAUCUUUUUAGCUUCAGGUCUACUCUGUCUGCCAGUUUGAAGGUCAGAUGCUAAUCUUCAAAGCCAUCAGCAAGUUUUAAUCUCUUUAAUAUUGGCAGAGCAUCGCUAUCUGCACUAUAGCUAAAGAGCUGCAUCCUCUCAGAAAAGCAGCUCAGAGUGUCCAGGACAAAGUACACUAAGGCUGAAGACAGAUGGUGUUGGCAGAGGGGCUUCACUACUGGGUAAUCUCCUCAAGGAGGUCACACACUCAGCAGUCCUGAACCAUAAAACCUUGUCUUCUUUCCAAAGUUACCUGUUUUCCCCCUGGAAUGUUCCACUCAUCUUUCUGAUACAAUUUUUUUUUUCUUUUUUCAGUAUCAGAAACAGAACUGUGAGUUAAUGUUACUCAGAUUUAUUUACAAUCACGAAUGAGCAAACCUGCUGUCAUUGAAAUG
This is a non-coding RNA of Cyanistes caeruleus (blue tit), 924 nucleotides long. NCBI's taxonomy places the organism in Eukaryota, Metazoa, Chordata, Aves, Passeriformes, Paridae. The record is from RefSeq and is a predicted model, not a curated record.